This 62-nucleotide transfer RNA is filed under the name Salinator rhamphidia. RNAcentral describes it as "tRNA-Cys". The record is from RNAcentral. Lineage: Eukaryota; Metazoa; Mollusca; Gastropoda; Amphibolidae.
GAAGUUAUAGUUUAAAAAAAACCCCAAGUUGCAAGCUUGGAAUUGAGCUUACUCUAACUUUU